GUGGCUGUGGCUUAGUGGUAGAGUGCUUGCCUAGCAUGCGUGAGGCACUGGGUUCAAUCCUCAGCACCACA
This 71-nucleotide transfer RNA is filed under the name Ictidomys tridecemlineatus (thirteen-lined ground squirrel). RNAcentral's name for it is "Spermophilus tridecemlineatus (thirteen-lined ground squirrel) tRNA". It matches the Rfam family "tRNA". Rfam says of the family: Transfer RNA (tRNA) molecules are approximately 80 nucleotides in length. The record is from Rfam by way of RNAcentral. Lineage: Eukaryota; Metazoa; Chordata; Mammalia; Rodentia; Sciuridae.